UACGGGGGGAGCAAGCGUUGUUCGGAUUUACUGGGCGUAAAGCGCCUGUAGGCGGCCUGUCAAGUCCGGCCUGAAAGCCCCCCGCUCAACGGGGGAGGGUGGCUGGAAACUGGCAGGCUUGAGGGCGAGAGAGGAGGGUGGAAUUCCUGGUGUAGCGGUGAAAUGCGUAGAGAUCAGGAGGAACACCCGUGGCGAAGGCGGCCCUCUGGCUCGACCCUGACGCUGAGAGGCGAAAGCGUGGGGAGCGAACGGG
This 253-nucleotide ribosomal RNA is filed under the name uncultured bacterium. RNAcentral describes it as "partial 16S ribosomal RNA". It matches the Rfam family "Bacterial small subunit ribosomal RNA", at positions 524 to 776 of the family's 1533-position model. The record is from RNAcentral.